ACAUGUGAAUCAGGAUUCAAAGUCAUCGGGCGUUUCCAGAAAGUCAUCAGAGAGAACCGACCCCUCGCUCUGAUCCAGGGACAAGUUCAUGUCGGGGGCCACCAAGGUGCGACGUUUACGCUGGGCUACUGACUCUCCCACAUUCAGAGAGUGAGGCCACAUGAAGAAUCAACAUCUCCAUCUUCUGGUAGUGGCCUGCAGAGGAAAACAUAAAUACACAACAUGUACAAGUACAAUGAUGACAUAGAAAUGAAAUUACAUAUAUAGUUCCAUUUUUUGGUCUAUUGGUUUCUUCUUAAGUUAAUGGUUGUUUUGGUAUCUUUAAAAGUCUAAUCAUAAGCAUUAACAUGAUAAAUGACGCUAAAAUAAAGUAUCAGCAGUCAUUCCUGGCAUUUUGCUCGUUGUCCUUUGUUUUUGGAGAAGCUCUGUUGUGAUUUAACUACAGAGUGUCCUUGGAAACAGUUGCAGUAAUUACCACUCCCCUCUGACAUUACAGUAUAAUAAAGCAGCUGAACUCUCAGCGCUGAGCGACGAGGGGACUAGAUUUUAGUAGAUAGCACUCUUAAGAACACACCCACACACAGACAAAGACAAAGACAUUAACACAAGAAUGCAUACACAGACAUUGACACACCCUAAAACCCCACAAGUAUGGGCUUGCUGAUGGAGCUGUUGGGAUAAUUGCUGUUAUUAUGUUGUCAGUAGCUUUGUAGAGGUAAG
This is a long non-coding RNA of Seriola dumerili (greater amberjack), 720 nucleotides long. RefSeq lists it as uncharacterized. The transcript has 3 exons. The record is from RefSeq and is a predicted model, not a curated record. Lineage: Eukaryota; Metazoa; Chordata; Actinopteri; Carangiformes; Carangidae.